Molecule: ribosomal RNA, 481 nt
Filed under: uncultured bacterium
Lineage: Bacteria
Description: partial 16S ribosomal RNA
Rfam family: Bacterial small subunit ribosomal RNA
Source: RNAcentral
AUUGAACGCUGGCGGCAUGCUUUACACAUGCAAGUCGAACGGUAACAGGCCGCAAGGUUCUGCCGAGUGGCGUACGGGCGAGUAAUGCAUCGGAACGUGCCCAGUCGGGGGGGAUAACUACUCGAAAGAGUAGCUAAUACCGUAUACGAUCUAUGGAUGAAAGCGGGGGACUGUAAGGCCUCGCGCCAUUGGAGCGGCCGGUGUCAGAUCAGGUAGUUGGUGGGGUAAUGGCUCACCAAGCCAACGAUCUGUAGCUGGUCUGAGAGGACGACCAGCCACACUGGGACUGAGACACGGCCCAGACUCCUACGGGAGGCAGCAGUGGGGAAUUUUGGACAAUGGGCGCAAGCCUGAUCCAGCAAUGCCGCGUGCAGGAAGAAGGCCUUCGGGUUGUAAACUGCUUUUGUACGGAACGAAACGGCUCUGGUUAAUACCCGGGGCUAAUGACGGUACCGUAAGAAUAAGCACCGGCUAACUACGU